RNAcentral lists this ribosomal RNA (566 nucleotides) under Heterodoxus spiniger. RNAcentral describes it as "bacterial SSU rRNA". It matches the Rfam family "Eukaryotic small subunit ribosomal RNA", at positions 38 to 564 of the family's 1831-position model. Lineage: Eukaryota; Metazoa; Arthropoda; Insecta; Psocodea; Boopidae. The record is from RNAcentral.
CAAAGAUUAAGCCAUGCAAGUGUCAGUUCAUGCCAAACUAAGGUGAAACCGCGAAAGGCUCAUUAAAUCAGUUAUAGUUUACUUGAUGGCAUGACGUUCAUCGUUACUUGGAUAACUGUGGCAAUUCUAGAGCUAAUACAUGCACUCGAGUCUCGACCGUUCGCAGCGGAAGAGAUGCUUUUAUUAGAUCAAAACCAAUCGGGAAAUCGUCGGUCUCCCGGCGACGUACCGUAAAGUCUUGGUGACUCUGGAUAAAUUGUCGCUGAUCGCAAGGUCCCUGCACCUGCGACGCAUCUUUCAAAUGUCUGACUUAUCAACUAUCGACGGUAUGCCACGUGCCUACCGUGGUGGUAACGGGUAACGGGGAAUCAGGGUUCGAUUCCGGAGAGGGAGCCUGAGAAACAGCUACCACAUCCAAGGAAGGCAGCAGGCGCGCAAAUUACCCACUCCCGGCACGGGGAGGUAGUGACGAAAAAUAACGAUGCAGAACUCUUUUACGAGGCUCUGCAAUCGGAAUGAGAAGACCCUAAAUCAUUUACCGAGUAUCCAUUGGAGGGCAAGUCUGG